GAUUAACACAUCCUCCAUAACUUUUUUGGGGAUCCUCACUAAACGGUCUGCCAAUUGUAAUGCGAUUUUUGUAGGUUUAAUUCUUCUAUCUUCAAUUUUGUAUUGAUCGAAUAAGGUAAGAUAUUCACACUAGCCCCUAAGUCUAACAAGACCCUAUCAAUGAUGGUUUCUCCAAUGACAUAAGAAAUUAUAGGUAACCUUGGAUCUUUGUACUUAACUAGUAUGUGGCUUGAAAGGUAUGAGCUCACACUAGCCAUUAAGAAGGCUUUCUUGGGAACGUUGGUAUUCUUCUUCUUUAUGCAUAGGUCUUUAAGGAACUU
RNAcentral lists this long non-coding RNA (320 nucleotides) under Elaeis guineensis (African oil palm). RNAcentral describes it as "long non-coding RNA (EGUI_LNC056026)". The record is from RNAcentral. Lineage: Eukaryota; Viridiplantae; Streptophyta; Magnoliopsida; Arecales; Arecaceae.